This 460-nucleotide ribosomal RNA is filed under the name uncultured bacterium. RNAcentral describes it as "partial 16S ribosomal RNA". It matches the Rfam family "Bacterial small subunit ribosomal RNA", at positions 338 to 795 of the family's 1533-position model. The record is from RNAcentral.
CCUACGGGAGGCAGCAGUGAGGAAUAUUGGUCAAUGGGCGCGAGGCUGAACCAGCCAAGUAGCGUGAAGGAUGACUGCCCUACGGGUUGUAAACUUCUUUUAUAAAGGAAUAAAGUGAGGCACGGGUGCCUUUUUGUAUGUACUUUAUGAAUAAGGAUCGGCUAACUCCGUGCCAGCAGCCGCGGUAAUACGGAGGAUCCGAGCGUUAUCCGGAUUUAUUGGGUUUAAAGGGAGCGUAGAUGGGUUGUUAAGUCAGUUGUGAAAGUUUGCGGCUCAACCGUAAAAUUGCAAUUGAUACUGGCAGCCUUGAGUACAGGUGAGGUAGGCGGAAUUCGUGGUGUAGCGGUGAAAUGCUUAGAUAUCACGAAGAACUCCGAUCGCGAAGGCAGCUUACUAAACUGCCACUGACAUUGAUGCUCGAAAGUGUGGGUAUCAAACAGGAUUAGAUACCCGGGUAGUC